UCUUUUAUGGGAGGAUGACCUACUUUCCGUACAUACAGGGUUGGUCUUGCCGACAUCAUCAUUGCCCUAAAAUGGAACUUGGCCUAGUGUGGGCAGAAAGUGGAAGUGGUUUGAUGAAGAGGAUACAUGAACUUAAGUCAACAGAGUACCAUUUUGUGACCUGGCAAGAAUUUACAAAGGUCAUGAAAUCUUAUAAAUUCCUCGAAGGCCAAGUUUAUAGUUGUUCUUGAGGCCAUAUCCUAAUCACACAUUCUUGGGAUCAUGGGGACACAUUAUCAGACUGCAACUGGG
RNAcentral lists this long non-coding RNA (291 nucleotides) under Phascolarctos cinereus (koala). RNAcentral describes it as "lncRNA (ENSPCIG00000032119.1)". The record is from RNAcentral. Lineage: Eukaryota; Metazoa; Chordata; Mammalia; Diprotodontia; Phascolarctidae.